UCAAAUCCUUUCACCAACUAAUAGUUCAAUCCAUAUUGGCAAUUACCAGAAAACGAAGCCCACCUUGCUGGCAUCCUCACAAAAACAAAUACAACCAGCAUUGGUUUCCAGAAAAUAUAUCGCCUUUGAAAAGGGGGAGCCAAUCCCAAACAAACCAAUCAUCCUUAGCAUUCAAACAUGCGUCACAUGCAUCACCUUGUACAUAACGCAUACAUGACAUUUAUGCAUAUAGCAUGAAUCAAUACCCAAGGUUUAGUC
This 258-nucleotide long non-coding RNA is filed under the name Lathyrus oleraceus (garden pea). RNAcentral's name for it is "Pisum sativum (pea) long non-coding RNA (PSAT_LNC036688)". The record is from RNAcentral. Lineage: Eukaryota; Viridiplantae; Streptophyta; Magnoliopsida; Fabales; Fabaceae.